GAAGUGCGAAUGCUGACAUGAGUAACGACAAAGGGGGUGAAAAACCUCCUCGCCGGAAGACCAAGGGUUCCUGUCCAACGUUAAUCGGGGCAGGGUGAGUCGACCCCUAAGGUGAGGCCGAAAGGCGUAAUCGAUGGGAAACGGGUUAAUAUUCCCGUACUUCUGACUAUUGCGAUGGGGGGACGGAGAAGGCUAGGUGGGCCAGGCGACGGUUGUCCUGGUUCAAGUGCGUAGGCUUGAGAGUUAGGUAAAUCCGGCUCUCUCUAAGGCUGAGACACGACGUCGAGCUACUACGGUAGUGAAGUCAUUGAUGCCAUGCUUCCAGGAAAAGCCUCUAAGCUUCAGAUAGUCAGGAAUCGUACCCCAAACCGACACAGGUGGUCGGGUAGAGAAUACCAAGGCGCUUGAGAGAACUCGGGUGAAGGAACUAGGCAAAAUGGUACCGUAACUUCGGGAGAAGGUACGCUCUUGAUGGUGAAGUCCCUCGCGGAUGGAGCUGACGAGAGUCGCAGAUACCAGGUGGCUGCAACUGUUUAUUAAAAACACAGCACUGUGCAAAAUCGCAAGAUGACGUAUACGGUGUGACGCCUGCCCGGUGCCGGAAGGUUAAUUGAUGGGGUUAGCGCAAGCGAAGCUCUUGAUCGAAGCCCCGGUAAACGGCGGCCGUAACUAUAACGGUCCUAAGGUAGCGAAAUUCCUUGUCGGGUAAGUUCCGACCUGCACGAAUGGCGUAAUGAUGGCCACGCUGUCUCCACCCGAGACUCAGUGAAAUUGAAAUCGCUGUGAAGAUGCAGUGUACCCGCGGCUAGACGGAAAGACCCCGUGAACCUUUACUACAGCUUGGCACUGAACAUUGAACCUACAUGUGUAGGAUAGGUGGGAGGCUAUGAAGACGUGACGCCAGUUGCGUUGGAGCCGUCCUUGAAAUACCACCCUUGUAUGUUUGAUGUUCUAACUUAGACCCAUUAUCUGGGUUGAGGACAGUGCCUGGUGGGUAGUUUGACUGGGGCGGUCUCCUCCCAAAGAGUAACGGAGGAGCACGAAGGUGGGCUAAUCACGGUUGGACAUCGUGAGGUUAGUGCAAUGGCAUAAGCCCGCUUAACUGCGAGAAUGACGGUUCGAGCAGGUGCGAAAGCAGGUCAUAGUGAUCCGGUGGUUCUGUAUGGAAGGGCCAUCGCUCAACGGAUAAAAGGUACUCCGGGGAUAACAGGCUGAUACCGCCCAAGAGUUCAUAUCGACGGCGGUGUUUGGCACCUCGAUGUCGGCUCAUCACAUCCUGGGGCUGAAGUCGGUCCCAAGGGUAUGGCUGUUCGCCAUUUAAAGUGGUACGCGAGCUGGGUUUAGAACGUCGUGAGACAGUUCGGUCCCUAUCUGCCGUGGGCGUUGGAAGAUUGAAGGGGGCUGCUCCUAGUACGAGAGGACCGGAGUGGACGAACCUCUGGUGUUCGGGUUGUGUCGCCAGACGCAUUGCCCGGUAGCUAAGUUCGGAAUUGAUAAGCGCUGAAAGCAUCUAAGCGCGAAGCGAGCCCUGAGAUGAGUCUUCCCUGACAGUUUAACUGUCCUAAAGGGUUGUUCGAGACUAGAACGUUGAUAGGCAGGGUGUGUAAGCGUUGUGAGGCGUUGAGCUAACCUGUACUAAUUGCCCGUGAGGCUUAACCAUACAACACCCAAGGGGUUUUGUA
RNAcentral lists this ribosomal RNA (1682 nucleotides) under Vibrio cholerae. RNAcentral describes it as "partial 23S ribosomal RNA". It matches the Rfam family "Bacterial large subunit ribosomal RNA", at positions 1285 to 2925 of the family's 2925-position model. Lineage: Bacteria; Pseudomonadati; Pseudomonadota; Gammaproteobacteria; Vibrionales; Vibrionaceae. The record is from RNAcentral.